Molecule: long non-coding RNA, 282 nt
Filed under: Solanum melongena (eggplant)
Lineage: Eukaryota; Viridiplantae; Streptophyta; Magnoliopsida; Solanales; Solanaceae
Description: long non-coding RNA (SMEL_LNC000147)
Source: RNAcentral
CCACCACUUCUACCACCAUCUUUCUGCCCAGAAUGCUUACCUGAGGAAGGUGGUGUCCAUUCAUGGUCAUUUCUCCAUCCUUUGUCCUUGGCCGAAGGUGGUGUCCAUUCACGAUCAUUUCUCCAUCCUUUGUCCUUGGCCGAAGGUGGUGUCCAUUCAAGAUCAUUUCUCCAUCCUUUGUCCUUGACCAAAGGUGGCGUCCAUUCACGAUCAUUUCUCCAUCCUUUGUCCUUGACCGAAGGUGGCGUCCAUUCACGAUCAUCUCUCCAGCCUUUGUCCUUG